Molecule: ribosomal RNA, 253 nt
Filed under: uncultured bacterium
Lineage: Bacteria
Description: partial 16S ribosomal RNA
Rfam family: Bacterial small subunit ribosomal RNA
Source: RNAcentral
UACGUAGGGUGCAAGCGUUAAUCGGAAUUACUGGGCGUAAAGCGUGCGCAGGCGGUGAUGUAAGACAGGUGUGAAAUCCCCGGGCUUAACCUGGGAACUGCAUUUGUGACUGCAUCGCUGGAGUGCGGCAGAGGGGGAUGGAAUUCCGCGUGUAGCAGUGAAAUGCGUAGAUAUGUGGAGGAACACCGAUGGCGAAGGCAGCCCCCUGGGUCAAGACUGACGCUCAUGCACGAAAGCGUGGGGAGCAAACAGG